GAAGGUUUUCGGAUCGUAAAGCUCUGUUGUUAGGGAAGAACAAGUGCCGUUCAAAUAGGGCGGCACCUUGACGGUACCUAACCAGAAAGCCACGGCUAACUACGUGCCAGCAGCCGCGGUAAUACGUAUGUGGCAAGCGUUGUCCGGAAUUAUUGGGCGUAAAGGGCUCGCAGGCGGUUUCUUAACUCUGAUGUGAAAGCCCCCGGCUCAACCGGUGAAGGUCAUUGGAAACUGGGGAACUUGAGUGC
Molecule: ribosomal RNA, 248 nt
Filed under: Bacillus velezensis
Lineage: Bacteria; Bacillati; Bacillota; Bacilli; Caryophanales; Bacillaceae
Description: partial 16S ribosomal RNA
Rfam family: Bacterial small subunit ribosomal RNA
Source: RNAcentral